UCCCAAACUGGGAUUAGAUACCCCACUAUGCUUAGCCCUAAACACAGAUAAUUACAUAAACAAAAUUAUUCGCCAGAGUACUACUAGCAACAGCUUAAAACUCAAAGGACUGGCGGUGCUUUAUAUCCUUCUAGAGGAGCCUGUUCUAUAAUCGAUAAACCCCAGAUAAUGCGACUAGCUAAUCU
This 185-nucleotide ribosomal RNA is filed under the name Bos taurus (domestic cattle). RNAcentral's name for it is "partial small subunit ribosomal RNA". The record is from RNAcentral. Lineage: Eukaryota; Metazoa; Chordata; Mammalia; Artiodactyla; Bovidae.